AUGACGGACGUCAAAACAACCAAUGCCUCCACUAAGGUUACAGAUGUCUAAAAACAGACCUAAUAUCGCUUCUGUUUAGUUUAUUCCACUUUUAAAAUUGUCUUCGGGUGCUGUGCGGUUGGCUGCACAAACAAGGAUACAAACCAAACUUGUCAUUUUAUUUUAUAACUUUUAACGAGGAAAGAUACGGCGGCUACGGAUGGCAGCUGUUAAUCAUAAUGACUGGCAGCCCUCGGGUGUAACCGUGGAUAUACAGCGAACACUUUUUACAAGUUGCAGGCGGCAGGUUUUUUCAUGGUGGCAGACCCUUCUGUUGGCGCCGUAAAGCACAGCGGUGUGUUCAGCUGUGACUGGGACUCAUUAGAUGAGGAGGAUGUCCGUCAUGGUGCCUGGCUGUCUGCGUGUUGGUCAUCCAGCAGGGGACCGAGGAAGAAAGGUGAUGACUACAGAGACGGGAGUAGAAAGGAAGAGGAUCAGCGAGGAAGAUGGAAUAUCAAAUCAUACCAAAUAGUAGAAACGGGAAAGCAAAGCCUACCUGUGUGAUCCACACGAUGAGGAUGGAGGUUUCCAGGUUCAGGUGGUGUGUCUGAGACGUCCAGAGGAGGAGAAGGUGAAACAUCAAUGUUGGCAUAAUUUCUACUCUUUUGGCAAACGUUUCGCCUAGAUUUAACUGUUUAACUGACAGUUGUUGAGCGACACUCAUGCAGAGUGCAGCAGAUGUCACGGUCAGCCAACCGGGUGACCCGUCAACUCUUCAGUUCACAAAGCCACAAAAAAAAAAAGCUCAUAAACCGGCGACCCCGGUACAAGCGAUCCAAACAACCGCUCUUAGAACUACGGGAGGAUUCAAACUCCGCUCAAUUAUUUUUAACUUACGGGAAAAAAACGGCAAAUAAACAAAAGUAAACUGACCAAUCACAUUUAGACUUUGGCAUUUGGCCUCUCACAGAUGUGCGCUAAGUACAAGAUGUUUUUCUGUAGUGAGUUGUAAAAGCUUUACUUUCUUGUUUGCAAGACUGAAGAAAACUACAUUUACAAAUAAAAUGUUGAUAAACCAA
Xiphophorus couchianus (Monterrey platyfish) is the source of this 1058-nucleotide long non-coding RNA. RefSeq lists it as uncharacterized. The record is from RefSeq and is a predicted model, not a curated record. NCBI's taxonomy places the organism in Eukaryota, Metazoa, Chordata, Actinopteri, Cyprinodontiformes, Poeciliidae. The transcript has 5 exons.